GUGGCGGUGAGGGGGCGCGGUGUGGGGAGCAAGGCACCAGUGACCAAUUUGUUUGGUCUGAAAGGCAUCCAUUUUUUGCUGGGAAUAAAGCCACAUUAGCUGCUAACCCUUUUGGACGUCGUGAGGCCACGCUGAGGGUGUGGGCGACUGGGUUUGCUGGAUAGUUUGGUUUCUGCUGGGGUAAGCUGGCAGCCACCUGGAGGGGAGCCCUGCCUUCAAACACACUUGUGGCUCUCUGAUCUUCUGGUUCCCUGUGUGUACCUCGCAUGCUUCCUCAACUGGGUGUGCACGUCCUACAGUAAUUGUGCAAACACAACAAAAGUCAGACCCUAAAGUGUGACCGCACCGAAGGACUUUGAGAACACUAAGCAAUAUGAAGUGAGAUGCACCUGUCGGUCCCCUCCGCCCUCAGGGCAUCCGACUGUCCUCAGAACUGACCUCCCAGAAGCUGCUCCGCGCCCGGUGGCCUCAGCUGGGCCAGUUGUGGGGCCUGAGCAGAACUCUCAGGUGCUUAUGGUGUUGCCAUCCCUAAGAGAGUCGAGUCUGGAGGAGAAACCGCUAAAGGCCAUCACGCUACGGAGAACUUCCGAACGGGCAUGAGUCCACAGUUUCUUCCCUUUGGGGAAACAGCCACAGCUGCUCAAAUAAAGAACACGGUGAACUCAGCACUUUGGUUCAUCAAAAUCAUCACCCACGGGUUAUCUCUGAGUGCAUUUUCUCAAAAGUUUUUGAUUGCUUCCUUCUCCUCUUCUUGUCUUAAGAGUUGUGGGCUUCAGGAUGGGACAGAGAUGCAACCGUGACCCCCCAAGCCUUCUCAAUUUUUGAUUAAGAACCCAGCACAGCCUACCUCAGUGUAUCGUUAGGAUUUGGUUCAAUAACGGACAUCUUCGAGACUUCAGAAUUCUGCCUGGAUCCGAUCUGAAUCAGGGAAAAAUCUAUAUCAGCUGAUUCUGAAUGCCAGGGACCAGUAAGAAUUUUGAGGGAGGGAGUUGGGAUAAAAUAUGGCCUUCGUGUGAGCAUAGAUCCUUUUUCUGGCUGAUAAUAUGCUUCUCUGCAUUUAAUCUUCCUUUUUUUUUUUUUUUUUUUUUUUUUUUGAUCCUCCAUCCGUUGCCACCAUGCUCCCCAAACAUGAACCUAGUUCCAGGCCAUCAUGAUGUAUCGGAGGUGAGGGCAUUCAGACCUGAGUUACUCUCCUUCGGUGGGAGUGGAUUUAUCAUUGCCUGCUGGGGCAAAGACAGGCUUUGGGGCAGAGCCAGCAUCCCCACUGUCCUUCCCCCUCCACCCCACCGAAGUGAGCACCAAGGUGCCCUGGGCUCUCCAUGGUUUAUUCUCACCCCUUUCAGACUCAGAUCCUUUUUUAGGGGGUGGAACAAACCACACUCAUGGGAACCUCACACACAAACACCCCAUGCAGUGUCUUCUUUUAUUCUUCAAGUGGGAGGAGCGUAUGUUGAGAAAUCUCAGUCCCCAAAUCCACCACUGUACUGGAUGCAUUUUUUUAGCAACAAAACCUUAGACCCCAGUGUUGCGGUUUAGUUGACUUUAAGCUAAUACUGGUUGACCUUGUGGGGCUUUGAGAACCUGUGUGUAAGUCUGGGCAGGGCCAACAAGGCUAUUGUCAUAUUCGGCAAGCCUUUGUCAUACUUUCACCACGGCUCCUGCAGGAUCUCCUUUCUCCGCUUGCCCUGGAGACGUACCUAGAGUACCGGACCCGCCCUGUGUAAAUGGGAUUUCACUGAUUUCAUUUAGCUGUCUCUGCUACUGCUGUGAAAAGGGCAAGUGGCCGUUGGGUUAUCAGCCUCGUUUUGCAACAGAUAAUGUUUCCUGUGCAACAACAGAACUUUGGUCUGAGGAAAUCAUGGUUGUCCUGGGGGGUUGUAAUGAUGGGUUACAAAAAAAAGCAACAAAGCCAGCUUAGGUUGAUGCUUUUUGUUGUUUGUUUUUGAAGAUGUCUCACUAUUAUUAAAACCCUUUUUCAUUAAUGCGGCGAAAUCUGCAUAGUAGUUUCUUCUUCUGGGAGGAGAAUACCAAACGUGUUACUUUUUCCCUGGACCAGUGAUGUCAAACACACGUCUGGAAAUGUUUGUAUUCUGAGAGCUGUUCUGGGUGCUUUUCUGUCAUUUUAAGCUAGUAGAAAGAGAGACAUGCUGCUGGUUCUCUGGAUAGGCAUUGAGCACAACUGAGAGAAAAUGUGGGAGUUGAUGCAAGGGUCUGCACAUACAAUCCAUGACCACUGGAGCCUGCCACCAACUGAUGGACAGAUCUUCCACUGUCUCCCACCAGAGCAGAUGGUCCUCCAUAAGUGUGCUUGUUGGGUUGGGAGGUGUUUAUUUGUAGCUGUCCUAGCAUUGCUCAGUGGGCAGGAAUGCCAUCAGAACAUGGCCCAUGCUAGCCAUCUGAGUGAUUGGAUGUGCUGUAGUCCCACCGGCAAUCAUUUUUCUACUUUGUGGUGGGUGGAAGUUGGGGUUAAAUGCCUUUUGGAUGCCUCUUGGUGAGUCCUUGACACCUCAGGCUAUUCAGAAAUUAUGGUUUGGUUGGGGGUGGGGAAUGGGGAAAUGCUGAUCUUAUAUAAACGGUACUUGUAGAAUGGUGCCCCUUCAGAAAACCUUCUGGAAUGUUCUUCAGAAUAUUGCUUUACACCAGAGGUAAGGUUGGGGAUGGAAAGAGCAGAGGAGCGUUUGUUCUCUCAAAACACACGAAAGAAUGUGCUGGACUUUCGGGGGCUGCCGGUGAAGGCGAAUGUUUCCUUAGGGUUCUCCCAGAAACAGAGGGAAACAAUGACUUUUUGAGUUCGCUGUCACCUUCUGAUGCCAGUCAAGGUCCGGAACCAGCCUCCAGCUGAAUUUUUAUUUGGGUAUGGGCCCUACAAACCAGCUUGUGAAUCGGAGGCUCUUGGUCCCAUUUGAGAAGGAAGGAAUAGUACCCCCCACCCCCAAUACAUGUGCGUCCACGUUCAUAUUCAGGAAUGGCUUGCUUAGACUUCUGACUUUCUGUGCCUGGGUGGGCUCAGCCCCUCGUGUCAGCAGCAGACACCUCCCGUCCGCCGUCAGCCGUGCAGGAUCAAAAGUGCCUCGGCUUUUGCGGAAAACAACUCGGAAACACAAAACCCACUGAAAGCUCAAUUAUUAUUUUUUCAAUGUUUUCCUACAAGAGCCAAGUAGCGCCAUGUACAGAAUAUGCCUUUUUGUUUGUUUGUUUGGAAUAUCGAAAUUGCUCUGCAUGUAAAAUAUGGGAUAAUUACCUGUUUAUAUUGAAAUUCUGAAUAAAUUAUCUGAGAAUA
Equus asinus (donkey) is the source of this 3280-nucleotide long non-coding RNA. The record is from Ensembl. NCBI's taxonomy places the organism in Eukaryota, Metazoa, Chordata, Mammalia, Perissodactyla, Equidae.